ACUCCUACGGGAGGCAGCAGUGGGGAAUAUUGCGCAAUGGACGAAAGUCUGACGCAGCGACGCCGCGUGGAGGAUGAAGGUUUUCGGAUCGUAAACUCCUGUCAAGAGGGAAGAAACCUAUUAUGAAUAAUACUCAUAGUAAUUAACGGUACCUCUAGAGGAAGCACCGGCUAAUUCAGUGCCAGCAGCCGCGGGUAAUACUGAAGGUGCAAGCGUUAAUCGGAAUCACUGGGGCGUAAAGCGCUCGUAGGUGGCUUUGUAAGUCAGGUGUGAAAGCCCACGGCUCAACCGUGGAAUUGCACUUGAUACUGCAUCGCUAGAGUAUAGGAGAGGGGAAGUGGAAUUUCUGGUGUAGGAGUGAAAUCCGUAGAGAUCAGAAGGAACACCCGUGGCGAAGGCGACUUCCUGGACUAUUACUGACACUGAGGAGCGAAAGCAUGGGGAGCAAACAGGAUUAGAUACCCUGGUAGACUGUCA
This 477-nucleotide ribosomal RNA is filed under the name uncultured bacterium. RNAcentral describes it as "bacterial SSU rRNA". It matches the Rfam family "Bacterial small subunit ribosomal RNA", at positions 335 to 802 of the family's 1533-position model. The record is from RNAcentral.